AGCAAACAAUUUACGCAUGAUAAAUACAAAAACAUUUAUAUAACCUAACCCAAAAGUGUAACAUGAGUUACGAAAUGUCAUUUUUCUUAUUUUUUUUAUGAUUUCGACAAAAUACAUUAAAGGGUAGAAACUUAUAUGCCAUGCUGUCCUUCACAUAAGUGUACCUGAUAAUUUGGUGUCUCAAAUAAAUUUCCUCCUGGAAGCCUUCUCCUGGUAUAGCAUACUUAAUUCAUGUAAUGUGAGUUACCUUUAUUUACCUAACAUGAGUUACCAUAAUUUUUGUAGGAUUUAUUAUAAUUUUGAGCAGUCAGAUUGGUUAUGAAUUACAUACAAUACAACUAACAAUAUAUCUCAACAUAUUUAAUGUAUAUUUAUCUCUGUAUGCCACAUAAAAUCCUAUAGGGAAUAGUUACUUCUACUUUACAACAAUUUUCAAUUUUUGCAGAAUGCCUUUAAGUGCAGCUGAGAAGAAGAAGAAGAAGGUAGAAAUUGGAAGAUGGGCAGAUAUGAAGAUUAUAAAAUCAAACACAAGGAAACUAUGAAAAAAUUCAGGAAAAAGAAGACGGAACAGGAAAAAUGUUUGAGUUAAAGAGAACAAGAAAGGAUUGCUGCAGACAGGAAACGGAAUGUUAGAUAAAGAGUUGCCAAGUACAGGAAGCAGCUAAAGGAAGUUUCUUCAGCUAGACCAAGUAGUUCUCCCUCUCCACCACAUAAAAAUAGGUCUUCAUUGAUAAAAGCCAUACCAAAAGAGAAACGUGCAGUUCCAGCAUCACCCACAAAACCAAAAUGUGUUAUUAGAAGGUUGUAUCAAACAUUUUUAGAAGUAGAAGGAAUCUCUAAUCAAAAAAUAAGUGAUGAAAUACUAAGUGCAGUGAGCAAAUCCUAUGAAAGGGAUGACAUUAGCAGACAGGCCCCUGGACGCAAAGACAUUGUGACUGUAAAAGAUGAGAAAGGGACACCAUUCAGACAAGAUGCUUUCAAGAUAUGAAAAGCGAUCAACAUGUUCCAGGAUUGUUUCUAAGAUGAAGAUAUUGAACUCAGGGAGUGUUAUUCCUGGGGCAGUUUGUAUUGCAGUGAUGAGCAUAGCAUCGUAGACUUGCAGCCAGACAUGCUUGACAAAGCUCUGCACGUACCUAUAAAUCAGGCAACACAGCGAUCAUGUGGCAUUGAAGAAAGAACUGAUUGGCUAGUGGUUGGCACCCAUCACUUGACAUGUCAAAAUGUCAACCAUAAAUUUAUUUAAUCAAAGUAUAUUACCAUGUACAUGACUGCAGUUUAUCUAAAGUAAACAUAUUAAGCAUAUAAUAUUUCAAUAAGAGAUAUAUGUAUGGCAUUUGAUUACAAAAAUUUACCUACUUAUCUGACUGAAUAUGAUUAUUGUCAAGGGGUUUUUCAAGAGUUGCAGAUCAUAUUUUUAAAACUACAGAAUGAGACAAUGACUUAAAGCACUAGUAGCUUGUAUUAUCAAAAAUUUUCAAAGUCAUGUUUGCAUCCAUCAAUAUAAUUUGUUUCAUUUCAACUGCAUAUUUGCUCAACUAAUAUUCCAUGGCAAACACUCUCAUAACUUUAUGUAAUUGUGAAUGGCUAACAACAACUGUCAUGAAUAACUUAAUGAUGACUGAUUAACUUCACCUUCUGCCAUUCUUAUAUAAAAAUUUAAAAUGCGUAAUAUUAAAUUCAUUAUUAGACCUCAUGGUUUUCCAAUGUUAUUAUGAGAAAUUAUAUGUUCACAAAAACUUGACUGUGUCAGUAAGUU
Molecule: long non-coding RNA, 1756 nt
Organism: Schistocerca gregaria
Lineage: Eukaryota; Metazoa; Arthropoda; Insecta; Orthoptera; Acrididae
Exons: 3
Source: RefSeq, a predicted model, not a curated record